This 482-nucleotide ribosomal RNA is filed under the name uncultured bacterium. Its description in RNAcentral is "partial 16S ribosomal RNA". It matches the Rfam family "Bacterial small subunit ribosomal RNA", at positions 30 to 507 of the family's 1533-position model. The record is from RNAcentral.
AUUGAACGCUGGCGGCAUGCUUUACACAUGCAAGUCGAACGGUAACAGGCCGCAAGGUGCUGACGAGUGGCGAAAGGGUGAGUAAUGCAUCGGAACGUGCCCAGUCGUGGGGGAUAACUACUCGAAAGAGUAGCUAAUACCGCAUACGAUCUAUGGAUGAAAGCGGGGGACCGUAAGGCCUCGCGCGAUUGGAGCGGCCGAUGUCAGAUUAGGUAGUUGGUGGGGUAAAGGCUCACCAAGCCAACGAUCUGUAGCUGGUCUGAGAGGACGACCAGCCACACUGGGACUGAGACACGGCCCAGACUCCUACGGGAGGCAGCAGUGGGGAAUUUUGGACAAUGGGCGCAAGCCUGAUCCAGCAAUGCCGCGUGCAGGAAGAAGGCCUUCGGGUUGUAAACUGCUUUUGUACGGAACGAAACGGCUCUGGUUAAUACCCGGGGCUAAUGACGGUACCGUAAGAAUAAGCACCGGCUAACUACGUG